RNAcentral lists this non-coding RNA (143 nucleotides) under Emiliania huxleyi. RNAcentral describes it as "Eukaryotic large subunit ribosomal RNA". It matches the Rfam family "Eukaryotic large subunit ribosomal RNA", at positions 1456 to 1588 of the family's 3401-position model. Lineage: Eukaryota; Haptophyta; Isochrysidales; Noelaerhabdaceae. The record is from Rfam by way of RNAcentral.
GGUAGUAGCAAAUAUUCAAAUGAGAACUUUGAAGACUGAAGUGGAGAAAGGUUCCGUGUGAACAGCAGUUGGACACGGGUGAGCCGACGAUCAAGCGUCCCGAGCGGCGAGAACUCGAAUGACAGUAGCUCGCCCAGCGCGUC